Molecule: non-coding RNA, 367 nt
Filed under: Mesobacillus campisalis
Lineage: Bacteria; Bacillati; Bacillota; Bacilli; Caryophanales; Bacillaceae
Description: Bacillus campisalis cspA thermoregulator
Rfam family: cspA thermoregulator
Source: Rfam by way of RNAcentral
AUUCUGUUACUAUGAAAGAGAAUUAUUUUUGUCGUACGGCAGGUUCCAAAAUUUUUGACCUGAAGACGUAGCAAGGAUAGUAACAAAAUGUGUGCAACGCACACGAGGAGGACAAUAGUAAUGGAAAAAGGUAAAGUGAAAUGGUUUAAUGCAGAAAAAGGUUUCGGAUUCAUCGAGCGCGAAGGUGGAGACGAUGUAUUCGUUCACUUCUCAGCUAUCCAAAGCGAAGGCUUCAAGUCUUUAGACGAAGGUCAAGAAGUAACUUUUGACGUUGAGCAAGGCCAGCGUGGACCACAAGCUUCCAACGUUCGCAAAGCUUAAUUAAACCUAACAGCAGAAAGGCUCUCUUAUUGAGGGCCUUUUUUAU